This 497-nucleotide ribosomal RNA is filed under the name uncultured bacterium. Its description in RNAcentral is "partial 16S ribosomal RNA". It matches the Rfam family "Bacterial small subunit ribosomal RNA", at positions 28 to 507 of the family's 1533-position model. The record is from RNAcentral.
GACGAACGCUGGCGGCGUGCCUAAUACAUGCAAGUUGAGCGAUGAAGAUUGGUGCUUGCACCAAUUUGAAGAGCAGCGAACGGGUGAGUAACGCGUGGGGAAUCUGCCUUUGAGCGGGGGACAACAUUUGGAAACGAAUGCUAAUACCGCAUAACAACUUUAAACAUAAGUUUUAAGUUUGAAAGAUGCAAUUGCAUCACUCAAAGAUGAUCCCGCGUUGUAUUAGCUAGUUGGUGAGGUAAAGGCUCACCAAGGCGAUGAUACAUAGCCGACCUGAGAGGGUGAUCGGCCACAUUGGGACUGAGACACGGCCCAAACUCCUACGGGAGGCAGCAGUAGGGAAUCUUCGGCAAUGGACGAAAGUCUGACCGAGCAACGCCGCGUGAGUGAAGAAGGUUGUCGGAUCGUAAAACUCUGUUGGUAGAGAAGAACGUUGGUGAGAGUGGAAAGCUCAUCAAGUGACGGUAACUACCCAGAAGGGGACGGCUAACUACGUG